AAAAAUAAACCUACUAAUGGUACAAGAAUUGAAGGUAAGUAAGCAGCUGUCAUAUGUUUUAAUGUUAUAUUUUUUUUUUUUUUUUUUUUUUUUUUUU
Molecule: non-coding RNA, 97 nt
Filed under: uncultured eukaryote
Lineage: Eukaryota
Source: RNAcentral